GUGCACAGGCAGCCCUGUCAAGCGGUCCUGGAAUUGGCAGUGACGAUGCUGAAUUGCAGGGGCACACUGAUUCUCCGGAGGCCCACACCUUCCUCCUGCCCACCUAGGCCUUAACUGUUUACAGCCUAAAGGGUUCCAGCGUCCUGGACCCUGGUCUGGGGACCAGGAUGACUCAACGCGGCAUCCCCUCCUCCUCGCCAAACAGACGUCUCCGCCUACCCCCAACAAUCUCUGCAAGGCUGUGGGCUCCGAGACUGGGGCGUCUGCUGGGGGCUGCAGGCGCCUAUCUGCUUGUUCCACCCUAGCAGGCCAGGCCGCCCCCUGCCCAGUCUUCAGCUUGCCUUCCUCUACCCGGUCUGCUGAUGAGGUGAAGAAGGGUGCAACCUCGGAACCUGGAGCCUAAGACCCAAGAUCCGCAGCGCACCAGGGGGACAGGUCAAGGUCCCGGGUAUGAUAAUCAGUCAAGAAAAGUGGUUGAGACGGGACAGACCACACUGCAGCUAGAAUUUUCUUCCUGAAUUCUACCCUGGAGAACGUGGACAUAAGAACAGCAGAGACUCGAUUUCAAUAUAUGGGAUUAGCGUUCCCAGACUGUGAGGGAUGUGUGGCCUGCUGCUCCUGCAUAUGUAAGGGCCUUUCCAUCAUCUUACUUGGACAGCAAGAAUCCAGUCCUCUGCUCCAGCCGAGACCAUGGUCCAGGACGUGGAGAGGAGCCCACAACCAGCAAGGACUUGGUUUUCUCCUCUGCCUGGAUAUGCAGGUGUAAGGUAUAUGUGACCCUUAAUCAGAUGUGGUGCUUGGGGCAGAUAUUGAUGACACUGGAGGAGCUGCUUGGAAUUUUCUUUGUGUACACUGGGAAAGGAAGGAGGACGUUGUAAUCAGGGAAGAAGGAGGAAGUGGCCUCAGGGUAAGCAUCCCUGAUUUGGCCUUCCACCAUGUUGAACUACCACCAUAAUGUCCUGUAAUGUAUUCCAG
Molecule: long non-coding RNA, 975 nt
Filed under: Cavia porcellus (domestic guinea pig)
Lineage: Eukaryota; Metazoa; Chordata; Mammalia; Rodentia; Caviidae
Description: lncRNA (ENSCPOG00000032193.1)
Source: RNAcentral